This 521-nucleotide small RNA is filed under the name Pongo abelii (Sumatran orangutan). RNAcentral describes it as "processed transcript". The record is from RNAcentral. Lineage: Eukaryota; Metazoa; Chordata; Mammalia; Primates; Hominidae.
AGUGUCAGUUGCUCGGCGGCGGCGGCCGUGGUCAUCAGGAAGGGGACGGGACGGAUGGCGAUGGUGGUCGCCGCGGCGGCGUGUGCGCCCCUCAGGAAAAGAAUACUUGAGAUCCAUUUGUAAGGAAAGAAAAGGAAGCAACAACAUAAUGCCCAGAGUUGGAGCCAAUUAAACCAGACGAAUCUCACUCUGUCGCCCAGGCUGGAGUGCCGGUGGCACGAUCUUGGCUCACUGCAACCUCUGCCUUCCAGGUUCGAGUAAUUCUCCUGCCUCAGUCUCCCAAGUAGCUGGGUCUACAAUAAACAUGGCUAUCUUCAGAAACUAAGGAAUGAGAGGCAAGGAAGAAAGGACAUUCAUCCUGGAAAGAACCAAAGCACCUUGAAAUUUGGAAGGAAUGCUAUGCUAGCUGCUAAAACCACCUUUGUCACCACAAUGAAUGAAGUGCUUCAGAUUUAAACAAUUGAUCAUUCUUAGAAGAGCUGCUGUAACACAUAGGGGAAGUGAAAACUAACAGAUGAAAG